AAGAUGCUCUUUGUGGAGUGAAUCGUUAACUGGGGAGGAGGCCACCUAGAUUCAGUUAUAGAACAUCGUGGAUUAGAUUGUCAUACAUCAAGGAGCCGAGGACCAUUCCCUGGGUAGCGAAGGACUUCACUGGACCUCCAGAAUCUUCUUCAUGGAUAUUCAUUGCGCCUUCAGGACCUGGACUUCCUUUGGAAAGUCCAAACUUCCUUUGGAAAAAAGACUAAGAGGAAUUCUUCCUGAAGUUCCUUGUCUGACUGUGGCCACUGUCUCCCUGGAGAACUGCACUUAUUUCAGAAAGAAGAGAGACUUCUAGAUAAAGCGAGGUGAUGCUGGCUUCAAACCAAAUUAAAAAAAAAAGCUGGAGAUAUGCAAGUUGCUAAACCAGCCCUUCCCUCAGGCUCAAAUCAGAGGACAAUUGGUAACAACCACCUUUCUCUCAUUUGGUUUUGCAGCUCAAACAAAACUGUCACCCUCGCCAAAACCCCUGAAAUACAGAAAUGUGGUAUUAAAACAGUUAUGACUGGAAAAGA
This is a long non-coding RNA of Homo sapiens (human), 530 nucleotides long. The record is from Ensembl. Lineage: Eukaryota; Metazoa; Chordata; Mammalia; Primates; Hominidae.